UUUGAAAGUUCAGUCCAGAGAAAAAUCUAUAAAUUCCUCUUAUGUGGUAAAAGUUUAAAAAAAAAAAGAAGAAGAAGAAGAAGAAGAAGAAAAAUGUAAGUAAAGCUUUUUUCUCUUUCUUUAAAACAAAUUUUCAGGAGUCUGACUAUGAUGAAGAUUUUAGUCAUUCUACAUGGAGCAGUGAAGAUGAAAGCCCACAUGAGGAUGUACAGGAUUAUGGAAAUAAGACAAAAGGUGAUGAAAUUAUUAUUACUUUUCAAAGAGAAGACAACAGUCCCAAACAAAUGAGCAAAGUUGACAAUGAUUCUGAAGUACGCAAUCAGAAGACAUCAGUGCACAAAAAGUGGGCAAGUGAACGAUCUCUUUCUCUUCCAAAUGAAACUGAGAUGGUGGAAUUUAAAAUCAGGCAACAGACUCUGUUCCCUUUCCUUCUUAAGAAAGAGGAAAGCUUAAAAGAGCUGCCUGAUGCUGACCUGGAUUUUCCGGUGCCAAAACAUUGCUCAGAACCUAAUGUUUCCCAGUCUAUGAUGGGUAAGAACACCUUCCGGGUGACAAAGGAGUGUUUUCGACACACUAAAUCUGAUGGACCCUGCCCUUCCUUUGUCUGAAGAUUUGUCUAAUCGCUUAAACAUAUUGACUCUG
This 642-nucleotide long non-coding RNA is filed under the name Sarcophilus harrisii (Tasmanian devil). RNAcentral's name for it is "lncRNA (ENSSHAG00000024324.1)". The record is from RNAcentral. Lineage: Eukaryota; Metazoa; Chordata; Mammalia; Dasyuromorphia; Dasyuridae.